This 449-nucleotide ribosomal RNA is filed under the name uncultured bacterium. Its description in RNAcentral is "partial 16S ribosomal RNA". It matches the Rfam family "Bacterial small subunit ribosomal RNA", at positions 354 to 796 of the family's 1533-position model. The record is from RNAcentral.
GUCGAGAAUCUUUCACAAUGGGGGCAACCCUGAUGGAGCGACGCCGCGUGGAGGAUAAGGUCUUCGGAUUGUAAACUCCUGUCAUGCGUGAACAAGGUUGCUUGGUUAAUACCUGGGCAAAUUGAUGGUAACGCAAGAGGAAGAGACGGCUAACUCUGUGCCAGCAGCCGCGGUAAUACAGAGGUCUCAAGCGUUGUUCGGAAUCACUGGGCGUAAAGGGUGCGUAGGUGGCGUGGUAAGUCAGAUGUGAAAGCCCGGGGCUCAACCUCGGAACUGCAUCCGAUACUGCCAUGCUAGAGUACUGGAGAGGUGACUAGAAUUCUCGGUGUAGCAGUGAAAUGCGUAGAUAUCGAGAGGAAUACCAAAGGCGUAGGCAGGUCACUGGACAGUUACUGACACUGAGGCACGAAAGCGUGGGGAUCAAACAGGAUUAGAAACCCUAGUAGUCC